RNAcentral lists this RNase P RNA (370 nucleotides) under Spirochaetota bacterium. RNAcentral describes it as "Spirochaetes bacterium (freshwater metagenome) RNase P RNA component class A". It matches the Rfam family "Bacterial RNase P class A". From Rfam's summary of the family: Ribonuclease P (RNase P) is a ubiquitous endoribonuclease, found in archaea, bacteria and eukarya as well as chloroplasts and mitochondria. Its best characterised activity is the generation of mature 5'-ends of tRNAs by cleaving the 5'-leader elements of precursor-tRNAs. Cellular RNase Ps are ribonucleoproteins. Lineage: Bacteria; Pseudomonadati; Spirochaetota. The record is from RNAcentral.
UGAGAGGAAUUUACGGUUGCGCGAUUAUCCGCUAUUGCGGAUGAAGUGAGGAAAGUCCGAACACCACAGAGCAGGAUGCCUGAUAACGUCAGGGCGCCGCGAGGCGACGGAAAGUGCAACAGAAAAUAUACCGCCUAAAAAUAUCUGCAUGCAGAUGUUUUUAGGUAAGGGUGAAAAGGCGAGGUAAGAGCUCACCGCACCGGCCGUAAGGUUCGGUGGCAGUGUAAACCCUAUCCGGUGCAAGGCCAAAUAGGUAUUCACGAAGUUGCUCGCUUUUGAAUACGGGUAGGCCGCAAAGACAGUAACAGCAAUGUUAAUGCAAGAUAGAUAACCGUACUAGACAGAAUUCGGCUUAUUUUCCUCUCAAUCU